Ribosomal RNA from Cercocebus atys (sooty mangabey), 93 nucleotides. The record is from Ensembl. Lineage: Eukaryota; Metazoa; Chordata; Mammalia; Primates; Cercopithecidae.
GUCUAUGUCCAUACCACCCUGAAUGCGCCCUGUCUCCUCUGGUCUCAGAAGCUAAGCAGAGUUGGGCCUGGUUAGUACUUGGAGAAAUAAUAU